UACAGAGGUCUCAAGCGUUGUUCGGAUUCAUUGGGCGUAAAGGGUGCGUAGGCGGGCAGGUAAGUCCGUGGUGAAAUCUCUGAGCUUAACUCAGAAACUGCCAUGGAUACUAUCUGUCUUGAAUAUUGUGGAGGUAAGCGGAAUAUGUCAUGUAGCGGUGAAAAUGCUUAGAUAUGACAUAGAACACCAAUUGCGAAGGCAGCUUGCUACACAGUUAUUGACGCUGAGGCACGAAAAGCGUGGGGAUCAAAACAGG
RNAcentral lists this ribosomal RNA (256 nucleotides) under uncultured bacterium. RNAcentral's name for it is "partial 16S ribosomal RNA". It matches the Rfam family "Bacterial small subunit ribosomal RNA", at positions 524 to 776 of the family's 1533-position model. The record is from RNAcentral.